Molecule: long non-coding RNA, 425 nt
Organism: Carassius carassius (crucian carp)
Lineage: Eukaryota; Metazoa; Chordata; Actinopteri; Cypriniformes; Cyprinidae
Exons: 2
Source: RefSeq, a predicted model, not a curated record
GUCGUACAGAAGUUAUUUAUGGAAAACUCUUUUUAAAAGAUAUUCGUUUUUUAUACAUUUUAUCUUAAUUUUUAUCAAUGUUUUAUCAAUCAAUUGCCCGUAUUUAAUAAAUAAGAAGCAAAUAUAUAGCAGACAAUGUAAUAACCUUAGGGUAAUUGACAGAAUUACUCAAAAAUAUUUUGCUACCUAAAAACUGAUUUAUGAAUGUAUAUGCAUAGUUCUCAUCAGUCGGAAAUACAGAUAAACGCUUUCAUUUGUUGUAUUUUUGAUCCUGAAAGAAAACAGAACAACAAAAGAGCGAAUCAUACCACUGUCUGAGGUUGUGCUUCAAGUCGAACGCACCCAUUUUUAAAUCGUUCACAGCUGAGCAUCGCGAGAGGCGGAUCUGCGCCAGAGCGCACAUGUGAAUGAGCUGCACAAAGUCA